Molecule: small nuclear RNA, 107 nt
Filed under: Neotoma lepida (desert woodrat)
Lineage: Eukaryota; Metazoa; Chordata; Mammalia; Rodentia; Cricetidae
Source: RNAcentral
GUGCUCGCUUUGGCAGCACAUAUACUAAUAUUGGAACGAUACAGAGAAGAUUAGCAUGGCCCCUGCACAAGGAUGACACGCAAAUUCAUGAAGCAUUUCAUAUUUUU